AGCUUGCUCUGUGGGAUCAGUGGCGAACGGGUGAGUAACACGUGAGCAACCUGCCCCUGACUCUGGGAUAAGCGCUGGAAACGGCGUCUAAUACUGGAUAUGUGACGUGACCGCAUGGUCUGCGUCUGGAAAGAAUUUCGGUUGGGGAUGGGCUCGCGGCCUAUCAGCUUGUUGGUGAGGUAAUGGCUCACCAAGGCGUCGACGGGUAGCCGGCCUGAGAGGGUGACCGGCCACACUGGGACUGAGACACGGCCCAGACUCCUACGGGAGGCAGCAGUGGGGAAUAUUGCACAAUGGGCGCAAGCCUGAUGCAGCAACGCCGCGUGAGGGACGACGGCCUUCGGGUUGUAAACCUCUUUUAGCAGGGAAGAAGCGAAAGUGACGGUACCUGCAGAAAAAGCGCCGGCUAACUACGUGCCAGCAGCCGCGGUAAUACGUAGGGCGCAAGCGUUAUCCGGAAUUAUUGGGCGUAAAGAGCUCGUAGGCGGUUUGUCGCGUCUGCUGUGAAAUCCGGAGGCUCAACCUCCGGCCUGCAGUGGGUACGGGCAG
Molecule: ribosomal RNA, 549 nt
Filed under: Microbacterium maritypicum
Lineage: Bacteria; Bacillati; Actinomycetota; Actinomycetes; Micrococcales; Microbacteriaceae
Description: bacterial SSU rRNA
Rfam family: Bacterial small subunit ribosomal RNA
Source: RNAcentral